RNAcentral lists this long non-coding RNA (267 nucleotides) under Hordeum vulgare. RNAcentral describes it as "long non-coding RNA (HVUL_LNC019988)". The record is from RNAcentral. Lineage: Eukaryota; Viridiplantae; Streptophyta; Magnoliopsida; Poales; Poaceae.
CUCCUUCCCCCUUGUUCCCUAGCAUCGAGAACGUCCUGGCCGAGCUCCGGCCACCGCCUCCGGCGUCGUUGUCGUCCUCUCCGGCAAUCCGAGCCCUCCUGACCCCUCUGCUCGACGCGGCUGAGCACAUGCUCCCUCCCACUGCCCUCAGUGCACCGAAUGGGUGCCGGAAUGCAAGUCCCGCGAGCCCCCGCCAUGUCCUCUGGUCGCCGCCGGCACAUCCCUGGCGUGUUGACGUGGCCGCCCUAAUUAACCACUAAUUAGCCC